CGGGAACCUCACCUGACUACCGCAAAGCUCUCUGAGAUCACCAAGGGAGAUCUUAUUUUUUCACAAAAGAACCAGAAAUCUUUGAUGCUUCGAGGACAAAUCAGACCUGAGGAUUCUGAACAGGCUCCAUGGAAAAGUCCCUGUUCCAGAGGCCUAGCUGUCACAAUCCUGAUUUCUAUACCUCUUCAGUCUAGAUGCUUGCAUCGCAGGGAGACAAGAACAGGUGGAGUGCCCACACUGCAGUCUCCAGACGCAGCAGAUUUCCUUGCUCAGCUGCUUCAUUUCACCUCAGGCAAACUCUGCUCUCCAGCCCAGCAUUUCUACUGCUCAGUCAGGCUGCCCUCCCCUUUGAAAAUUAUACAAGGUCUUGGACAGCCCAAUCCUUGUGCCUCAGCUUUAAGAGGUCCAGUCGGCACCCCCCGGCCUUCCACUGCCUUUUCAUUCUCAGGUGGCUCUCCCAGGUCCACAGGUGAUGGAUUAAGGGAGCACUCUCCAGAGUGGGGAAAGCUGGAGAGGAAAGGAAAACAACUCAAACCAAUGUGUGAUGUGGGGCAAAGCCACAAGUACGAGAAGACUGAAGGCAGACCUUCAGGGAAAAUAUCAGAUGCGGGCUCCUAGAUGCAAAAGCACAAAGAAAGCAGUUGGGGAAGCACCCAGAAUUCAUAAAAAGAGCUCCUAGGAGAUCUGGACAAACCAAUGACAUUAUCUGCCACUGAUGCCUGGAAGUAAGCUUUAUGGAGGUAGUAGAGAACAUUGCAGGCAGAAGGAAUAUUAUUACUAAAGUCCUCUAACAGAAGCAUUCAAGGAACUGGAUGAAGUCGAAUGAAGAGAGCACAGGGCGACAAGACCAAGCAGCACAAAAUGAGGCCACAGGCAUGAAAUGAGCUAGACCAUUCUAGGCUAUGAAGGCAAUGUAAGCUAGACUAACCCUAGCUGCUCAAAUGCGCAAAUCCCCAAACGUCAGUGACUUGGCAUAAGCUUAUUCUUCAUUUACCUGAAGUCCAGUAGAGCUGUUUGCAAUCAGUGAAUGUGUUUUGUUUUGUUUGCAUUGGGUGAUUCAUGACCCAGCUGCUUCUGUUUCAUGAUUUUGCCCUCCCUGUCAUCUGGUAAGUUGUCUAUAUCUACAGAGACAAUUGAGAAGCUCCAGUGACUACAUAAAACCCUGACCCACAAAGGACAAUUAUUCCUUCCAUUUAUAUUCCAUUAGUGAGAACUCAUUGAAAGAAAAAAGAAAAGAAAAGAUAGGGAAAAAAAUGGGAAAUGCAAUCCCUCCUAGGUAAUUGCCUUGACAAAUCCACACUCUGGAAAGAGAAACAUGAAAUUUGUUGGACAGGUUAACAUUCUUCCCACCUCAACUCUGUUAUGAGUUUAAGUGUUUAUCAUAAAACAAUGGAAACAUUCUUAAGCAAAAAAUAUAACCAACAGUAGGGAGUGGGUAAAUCACUUAAACUGACAUAUACAGUAUAAAUUGGCUAUAGAAAAUAAUGUAUUUAAAAAAAUAAAUUGAGUCAAGGGUUAACA
RNAcentral lists this long non-coding RNA (1521 nucleotides) under Vulpes vulpes (red fox). RNAcentral's name for it is "lncRNA (ENSVVUG00000008218.1)". The record is from RNAcentral. Lineage: Eukaryota; Metazoa; Chordata; Mammalia; Carnivora; Canidae.